RNAcentral lists this ribosomal RNA (491 nucleotides) under uncultured bacterium. Its description in RNAcentral is "partial 16S ribosomal RNA". It matches the Rfam family "Bacterial small subunit ribosomal RNA", at positions 29 to 506 of the family's 1533-position model. The record is from RNAcentral.
AGUGAACGCUGGCGGUAGGCCUAACACAUGCAAGUCGAACGGCAGCACAGUAAGAGCUUGCUCUUACGGGUGGCGAGUGGCGGACGGGUGAGGAAUACAUCGGAAUCUACUUUUUCGUGGGGGAUAACGUAGGGAAACUUACGCUAAUACCGCAUACGACCUACGGGUGAAAGCAGGGGAUCUUCGGACCUUGCGCGAUUGAAUGAGCCGAUGUCGGAUUAGCUAGUUGGCGGGGUAAAGGCCCACCAAGGCGACGAUCCGUAGCUGGUCUGAGAGGAUGAUCCGCCACACUGGAACUGAGACACGGUCCAGCCUCCUACGGGGGGCAGCAGUGGGGAAUUUUGGAAAAUGGGCGCAAGCCUGUCCCCGCCAUACCGGGUGGGUGAAGAAGGCCUUCGGGUUGUAAAGCCCUUUUGUUGGGAAAAAAAAGCAGCAGGUUAAUACCCCGCUGUUCUGACGGUACCCAAAAAAUAAGCACCGGCUAACUUCGU